UGGUCCCCCAGAAAGUGCCGAACUUGCUGUUGUUGACGGAGAGGAAAUAGAAAUCAAAUUUGGAUCUAAUUUAUGGUUGGAAGAUUACAAGGAAACACCUUUGAAAAUAAAAUUUUUCAAACAUUUGCCAUGUGAAAAAAUAUCAAUGCACCUUGAAGUGGUUAACAAAAGAGAUCAAGCAGACGACGACUCCUAUCACGG
This 201-nucleotide long non-coding RNA is filed under the name Mytilus galloprovincialis (Mediterranean mussel). Lineage: Eukaryota; Metazoa; Mollusca; Bivalvia; Mytilida; Mytilidae. The record is from RNAcentral.